CACGUAGGGCGCAAGCGUUGUCCGGAAUUAUUGGGCGUAAAGAGCUCGUAGGCGGUCUGUCGCGUCUGCUGUGAAAACCUGGGGCUUAACCCCGGGCCUGCAGUGGGUACGGGCAGACUAGAGUGCGGUAGGGGAGACUGGAAUUCCUGGUGUAGCGGUGAAAUGCGCAGAUAUCAGGAGGAACACCGGUGGCGAAGGCGGGUCUCUGGGCCGUAACUGACGCUGAGGGGCGAAAGCAUGGGGAGCGAACAGG
RNAcentral lists this ribosomal RNA (253 nucleotides) under uncultured bacterium. RNAcentral's name for it is "partial 16S ribosomal RNA". It matches the Rfam family "Bacterial small subunit ribosomal RNA", at positions 524 to 776 of the family's 1533-position model. The record is from RNAcentral.